Molecule: long non-coding RNA, 631 nt
Filed under: Setaria italica (foxtail millet)
Lineage: Eukaryota; Viridiplantae; Streptophyta; Magnoliopsida; Poales; Poaceae
Description: long non-coding RNA (SITA_LNC002270)
Source: RNAcentral
UGAGAUUGAGAAUAGAGUUUUGACAAAAGUUCAGGUGGUAAUCUUUUCGAUAGGGAGAACAUACAGGAAGUUAAUUCAAGCUACUCAUCAGCUUGGGCACUUUCAAAUGAGUUAAUAUUCAGCUUCUGGUGUCAUUUGUUUAUGCUUGUUUAUUUCCCAUAUGCAAAACUUCCUAAAUUUCUGGUUUGUUGUGAUAAAAACUUCAACUUUAUGAUUUUCUUUUUAGAAUUUAAGUGUGCAUGCAUAGUUCCGGAGAAUUUUGGUAAAGGUUUAUUCUUUGCUAUUCAGCAGGUUUAAAGAAAUAUUCAUAUUCAUGUAGGGGUUUUAAUUGUGGAACAAAUUUUUCCAUAGCACCUAACUAUUAUUCAAACGUUCCAUGCAUUAUGUUUGUUAAAGGUUUAUUCUUUGCUAUUCAGCAGGUUUAAAGAAAUAUUCAUAUUCAUGUAGGGGUUUUAAUUGUGGAACAAAUUUUUCCAUAGCACCUAACUAUUAUUCAAACGUUCCAUGCAUUAUGUUUGUUAAACUGAUGACACUUACGUUCCUUUUUGGAUAUGCUAGGAUAGACCGGAGAAUUUCAAUUAUCUACUCCGGAAACUUCAACUACUUGGCGCCCUUAAAUCAAAGAAUGUUU